This 542-nucleotide ribosomal RNA is filed under the name uncultured bacterium. RNAcentral's name for it is "bacterial SSU rRNA". It matches the Rfam family "Bacterial small subunit ribosomal RNA", at positions 967 to 1509 of the family's 1533-position model. The record is from RNAcentral.
AACCUUACCUGGCCUUGACAUACUAAGAACUUUCCAGAGAUGGAUUGGUGCCUUCGGGAACUUAGAUACAGGUGCUGCAUGGCUGUCGUCAGCUCGUGUCGUGAGAUGUUGGGUUAAGUCCCGCAACGAGCGCAACCCUUUUCCUUAUUUGCCAGCGGGUUAAGCCGGGAACUUUAAGGAUACUGCCAGUGACAAACUGGAGGAAGGCGGGGACGACGUCAAGUCAUCAUGGCCCUUACGGCCAGGGCUACACACGUGCUACAAUGGUCGGUACAAAGGGUUGCUACCUCGCGAGAGGAUGCUAAUCUCAAAAAGCCGAUCGUAGUCCGGAUCGCAGUCUGCAACUCGACUGCGUGAAGUCGGAAUCGCUAGUAAUCGCGGACCAGAAUGCCGCGGUGAAUACGUUCCCGGGCCUUGUACACACCGCCCGUCACACCAUGGGAGUUUGUUGCACCAGAAGUGGUAGUCUAACCGCAAGGAGGACGCUUACCACGGUGUGGCCGAUGACUGGGGUGAAGUCGUAACAAGGUAGGCGUAGAUGA